UUAAAAUGUCGCGAAAACGUAGAGUAAAUAUAUUUUACGAAUAAUUGCGCRAAGAAUUUUCGUUUAUUAAGAAAGCGAAGACCGAAAGUGAUGUCCUUUGCGAAGUGUGCAACACGGGUUUUAUUAUUAUGCAUAGUGKUCGCCGAGAUAUUGAGUCGCAUAUUAAAUCAAAAAAUCACUAAAAUGCAUUGCACGCUGCCACGUCCAGCCACACACUCAAUAGAUAUUUAAAAAGUUCUACUUUGACCGGAACAGAUGCCCAUAUCGCGGCGUGUGAAGGCGUUUGGGCAUUUCAUGUGAUAAGUUCUAAUCACAGUUUUCGCUCGGCCGWUUGCGCUUCCAAAAUCAUCCGGAGUUGUUUCGCAAUGUCCAAAUUUUCUUGUGCGCGAACGAAAUGUGAAGCCAUAGCACCCGGAGUGUUCGCACGGUUCGUAUUGCAAGAGCUCCAGAAAGACUUAAAUGACUGCCAUUUCUUCACUAUAUUGACGGACGCCUCUAAUCAUGGCAGCACAAAAAUGUUUCCGAUAUUAGUUCGCUUUUUUUCGGAAAAGGAUGGCGUCAAAGUGAWAAAUAUAGACUUGGUAGAUGCACAUGGAGAAAGUUCCGAAAUAAUUGUAAAUUUGCUGAAUAGCGCUAUGAACAAAUUGAACAUAAAUAAGAAACUAKAUGCGUUUUGUGGAGAUAACGCGGCAUGUAAUUUUGGCAACGUUAAUCGAACCGGCACAAAUAAUGCGUUCUACAAACUGAAGCAGCUUUAUCCUGGAUUGAUUGGCGUUGGAUGUGCAGCGCAUAUUGUUCACAAUACUUUAAAAAAAGCUUGCGACAAAAUGCCUUUUGAUAUGGAGAUGAUUGUUGUCAAAAUUUCUUCACAUUUCUAUUUGUUCACCGUGCGUGUCGCAAAAUUGAAAAAAUUUUGUGAAUCCGUGGAUGUGGAAUAUAAAAAACUGAUAGGUUACAGCAAAACUCGUUUCCUAGGCUUGUUGUCAUCAGUCGAAUGUUUAAGUCGAAAUAUUAAGAAUUUUUGAUGGUCUUAAGGAGUAUUUUUUGGGAGAUCCCAACACCCCAAAUUCUUUGCUACUAUUUUUUGAAGAUCCAAGGGCCAAGAUGUGGCUGCUUUUCCUUCGUGAUCGAGCAUCUAUUUUCAACAGAACAGUUAAAGCAGUGGAAAGCGACAAUAUUAAUGCAAUGGAAGUUGGGCWUGCACUCAAUUCUUUUGUCCAAUCGCUCGAAUCUCAGAAAAAAGAAGCAUUUUUGUCCGCUACAGUGCAAAAGGAAAUGGAACAUAUUUCUGUUGUUGACGAAAGAGUGCCAAAGAAGAGAUGUAAGAUCUCUCACGUCAAUUCUAUGAAUCAUGUAUAAAAUAUAUUGGAAAGUGGAAAGAACAAUUUGACCAUAUUAUCAUUUUUGCCUGGUGUGCGCUUGAUCAACCACCGCAAUGGAAGUUUAUCGAAACCACCGCGAAGUACAUCGCAACCAAUAACCAUUUUGAUCUG
Bactrocera latifrons is the source of this 1493-nucleotide long non-coding RNA. RefSeq lists it as uncharacterized. Lineage: Eukaryota; Metazoa; Arthropoda; Insecta; Diptera; Tephritidae. The record is from RefSeq and is a predicted model, not a curated record. The transcript is spliced from 3 exons.